Molecule: non-coding RNA, 27 nt
Filed under: Mus musculus (house mouse)
Lineage: Eukaryota; Metazoa; Chordata; Mammalia; Rodentia; Muridae
Source: RNAcentral
UGGAUUAAAACUGUGUGCCACUAUGCC